RNAcentral lists this transfer RNA (93 nucleotides) under Candidatus Izemoplasmatales bacterium. RNAcentral describes it as "tRNA-Ser". It matches the Rfam family "tRNA". From Rfam's summary of the family: Transfer RNA (tRNA) molecules are approximately 80 nucleotides in length. Their secondary structure includes four short double-helical elements and three loops (D, anti-codon, and T loops). Further hydrogen bonds mediate the characteristic L-shaped molecular structure. tRNAs have two regions of fundamental functional importance: the anti-codon, which is responsible for specific mRNA codon recognition, and the 3' end, to which the tRNAs corresponding amino acid is attached (by aminoacyl-tRNA synthetases). tRNAs cope with the degeneracy of the genetic code in two manners: having more than one tRNA (with a specific anti-codon) for a particular amino acid; and 'wobble' base-pairing, i.e. permitting non-standard base-pairing at the 3rd anti-codon position. The record is from RNAcentral. Lineage: Bacteria; Bacillati; Mycoplasmatota; Mollicutes; Candidatus Izemoplasmatales.
GGAGAAAUACCCAAGCCCGGCUGAAGGGAUCGGUCUUGAAAACCGACAGGGCGUGCAAGCGCCGCGGGGGUUCGAAUCCCUCUUUCUCCGCCA